UCAUGAUUUUCAAAUUGUUAAAUGGUUUUAUCCUGUGAGUAGUUAUUGUAUAGGUACUCUUAACUCGUAGCUUGUCAGAAUGCCAGUGGCUGAAAGUAUUUGCUAGUGUUCUUUAUUUUGCUACCAUUUGCUAAUCUAACGGACAGAAGUUUGAGUGGUAGGAAGCAGAACCUCAGACUCAGAGAACAUGCACCAUCUUGAAUUCUUGAGGCAUGAG
This 217-nucleotide unclassified non-coding RNA is filed under the name Hevea brasiliensis (rubber tree). Lineage: Eukaryota; Viridiplantae; Streptophyta; Magnoliopsida; Malpighiales; Euphorbiaceae. The record is from RNAcentral.